AGACCCGAAACCCGGUGAUCUAGCCAUGGGCAGGUUGAAGGUUGGGUAACACUAACUGGAGGACCGAACCGACUAAUGUUGAAAAAUUAGCGGAUGACCUGUGGCUGGGGGUGAAAGGCCAAUCAAACCGGGAGAUAGCUGGUUCUCCCCGAAAGCUAUUUAGGUAGCGCCUCGUGAAUUCAUCUCCGGGGGUAGAGCACUGUUUCGGCUAGGGGGCCAUCCCGGCUUACCAACCCGAUGCAAACUGCGAAUACCGGAGAAUGUUAUCACGGGAGACACACGGCGGGUGCUAACGUCCGUCGUGAAGAGGGAAACAACCCAGACCGCCAGCUAAGGUCCCAAAGUCAUGGUUAAGUGGGAAACGAUGUGGGAAGGCCCAGACAGCCAGGAUGUUGGCUUAGAAGCAGCCAUCAUUUAAAGAAAGCGUAAUAGCUCACUGGUCGAGUCGGCCUGCGCGGAAGAUGUAACGGGGCUAAACCAUGCACCGAAGCUGCGGCAGCGAACGUAUCACCCAAGACAACUUUACGGAGUUGACGAUUGACGGAGCGAAGCGACGUCAAAGCGUUCAUUAAAGUCGAGUUGGCUUAGGGAUACGUUCGUUGGGUAGGGGAGCGUUCUGUAAGCCUGUGAAGGUGUGUCGUGAGGCAUGCUGGAGGUAUCAGAAGUGCGAAUGCUGACAUAAGUAACGAUAAAGCGGGUGAAAAGCCCGCUCGCCGGAAGACCAAGGGUUCCUGUCCAACGUUAAUCGGGGCAGGGUGAGUCGACCCCUAAGGCGAGGCCGAAAGGCGUAGUCGAUGGGAAACGGGUUAAUAUUCCCGUACUUGGUGUUACUGCGAAGGGGGGACGGAGAAGGCUAUGUUGGCCGGGCGACGGUUGUCCCGGUUUAAGCGUGUAGGUGUGUGUUCCAGGUAAAUCCGGUUCACUUUAACACUGAGGCGUGACGACGAGGCACUACGGUGCUGAAGCAACAAAUGCCCUGCUUCCAGGAAAAGCCUCUAAGCAUCAGGUAACACGAAAUCGUACCCCAAACCGACACAGGUGGUCAGGUAGAGAAUACCAAGGCGCUUGAGAGAACUCGGGUGAAGGAACUAGGCAAAAUGGUGCCGUAACUUCGGGAGAAGGCACGCUGACACGUAGGUGAAGUGAUUUACUCAUGGAGCUGAAGUCAGUCGAAGAUACCAGCUGGCUGCAACUGUUUAUUAAAAACACAGCACUGUGCAAACACGAAAGUGGACGUAUACGGUGUGACGCCUGCCCGGUGCCGGAAGG
RNAcentral lists this ribosomal RNA (1269 nucleotides) under Salmonella enterica. Its description in RNAcentral is "partial 23S ribosomal RNA". It matches the Rfam family "Bacterial large subunit ribosomal RNA", at positions 711 to 1876 of the family's 2925-position model. The record is from RNAcentral. Lineage: Bacteria; Pseudomonadati; Pseudomonadota; Gammaproteobacteria; Enterobacterales; Enterobacteriaceae.